This 85-nucleotide small RNA is filed under the name Arabidopsis thaliana (thale cress). RNAcentral describes it as "ATSL096010". The record is from RNAcentral. Lineage: Eukaryota; Viridiplantae; Streptophyta; Magnoliopsida; Brassicales; Brassicaceae.
AAUCCUACAGAUAACCUAGCAAGGGGGCAAUCUACUAAAUCAUCUAAAUCCCUAAUGAGAAACCCUAAACCUAACAAGAAAACUA